CACACACACACACACACACACACACACACACACACACACAUAUGCACAUUGAGUUUUUUUUACAAUAUAGCAGCUCAAAUGCAUAUAUUAUAUCUCCAAAAUCACAAUUUCAAUAUGCAUAUUAUAUAUCACCAGAUUAGUAGUUCCAUUCAACUAUGAUUUAGUUAUUUAUCAUUAUCAAGUAGCAUAGGUCAGAGCCAAGAACAUUUAUUUCUGGCAUUUGGACUAAUUAUGGUCACUUCUAAUCUAUGAGCAGCAAACCAUAGUACUGCAUAAAUUUAAUUAACUAAAGAGAAGGGGAAGAAAUCAAAUUUGAUUGUACACAAAAGUAAUUUUACUAGUCGUAUGUCAAGUUGCCUAGUAAUUAUAUUAAAUGACAAGGGUUCUUUUUGAAUGCCCUUCUCCUCCCUUUCAUGGUGGGUGGUUACUAGUCACCAACAUUGCCAUCUGCAAGAUCAAGAUAAAGUCUAUCGUCGUCUCCUCUGCCCCUUGCAGCCAUUACCACUAGUAAUUUUAUUGAAAUGGAGGUGGAAUCGUCAUUAGACCUUGCACCUACUAAUUAACCUAUUAAGAACAAAAUUCUCCAAAUACCCUCAUAAAAUUGAUGGUCUAGAUAUCUCAUGCCAUUUUAUAAAAUAAUAUUAGGAGCACUGUAGCAAAACCUGGCACUCAACCAUAUUUGAUUUUAGGGGACAUAAUUGGCCAUUCAGAUGGAAUCAAUAUAUAUGCCCAAUUUCUUGUAUAGAUGGAAUAUCAUAGUUGAUAGAGAAAGCAAUCUACAAAAUUCUGGUUUACUCAAUUUCCAACCUCUUGGAUCUCUCUGUUACCUUUUGCUCUUUUAUAUUUCCAAAUCAUCAUACACUAAAAAGUUCUCUUCUUCUAGUAAAUUAGCAAGCUAAUGCCUUGGCAUGCAUGCAAUCCCUAUAUAGCAGGAUAACUAAAUGCCCCAAUAAAGUUUUGUCAGAUUUCUUCAUCACUAACAGAAAAAAAAAAAAUCAACACCAAAAAGAAGGACAGUUAUACUGAUACUGAACACUUGUUUAAAUUAAUAGAAACGAAUAGAAAAUUGGGAAAUGUGCCUUGAAGUCUUCAAAGCAGGAAAUUGAGGAAACAAGAAGAAAGUGACGGUUGAAAUCAGGAAGCGUAAAUUGUAUGAGCAAACAUAUAUAUUACAAGCGUGCCUGGAGAACUGUGGUGAAACUAUUAAAACCAUGCACACUUUUUGCUCAACUAAAUCAAGGUAUAUAUGAGUUUUAGAGAAUGAGAGGAAAAAGCACAUGAAAAUAUAUCAUUAAAAAGGAAAAAGAUUUUAAGAAACUAAAGAAAUUAUAAAAGACAAUUUUGUUAUAAACCUUGUGGGUUCAGCAACUAUAUGCCUUUAACAACUUGGAAUACUCUAUGGAUGGAAAACUAAUACUGUAGCAGGGUUCAAGAGCGUGGGGC
Molecule: long non-coding RNA, 1443 nt
Filed under: Elaeis guineensis (African oil palm)
Lineage: Eukaryota; Viridiplantae; Streptophyta; Magnoliopsida; Arecales; Arecaceae
Description: long non-coding RNA (EGUI_LNC008653)
Source: RNAcentral